CGGCUCCGAUGGCCUAGUGAUUAGAGCGUUCGCCUCGAAUGCGGGAGGUGGCGGGUUCUAUCCCGCUCGGCCGC
Potamilus streckersoni is the source of this 74-nucleotide non-coding RNA. Lineage: Eukaryota; Metazoa; Mollusca; Bivalvia; Unionida; Unionidae. The record is from the annotation of a GenBank genome assembly.